GCACUCUUAGCUCAGUUGGUAGAGCAAAUGACUCUUAAUCAUUAGGUCGAGGGUUCGAGUCCCUCAGAGUGCACUA
RNAcentral lists this transfer RNA (76 nucleotides) under Ignavibacteria bacterium. RNAcentral describes it as "tRNA-Lys". It matches the Rfam family "tRNA". From Rfam's summary of the family: Transfer RNA (tRNA) molecules are approximately 80 nucleotides in length. Their secondary structure includes four short double-helical elements and three loops (D, anti-codon, and T loops). The record is from RNAcentral. Lineage: Bacteria; Pseudomonadati; Ignavibacteriota; Ignavibacteria.